UGAGCACCCAAACCCAAGGGCUGCCGUUCUUCAGUGCGGUGGCUUAAAGGGAGGUGCUGACAGCAAGUGCAUCUCUGUCGCCUUUGUGGGGCUGGGCGGUGCCCCUCAGAGUGAAUUUAGAGGUUCUACAUGG
Small nucleolar RNA from Suncus etruscus (white-toothed pygmy shrew), 133 nucleotides. RefSeq annotates it as small nucleolar RNA SNORA68. The transcript has a single exon. The record is from RefSeq and is a predicted model, not a curated record. Lineage: Eukaryota; Metazoa; Chordata; Mammalia; Eulipotyphla; Soricidae.